Long non-coding RNA from Photinus pyralis (common eastern firefly), 1109 nucleotides. RefSeq lists it as uncharacterized. The transcript has 3 exons. The record is from RefSeq and is a predicted model, not a curated record. Lineage: Eukaryota; Metazoa; Arthropoda; Insecta; Coleoptera; Lampyridae.
UAACGAGUAUGGAAUAGAGUGUAUUCCGCGCGAGUGGAAAGUUCGUCACACGAGCCGAAGGCGAGUGUGACGGUUCCACGAGCGUUGAAUACCUAUUCCUUACAAGUAAUAGACAUAAUUUUUUCUACUACUACGACGAAUUUUUGCAAAAUAUGUAUAAAACAAGCAGGGUUAACGAUAGACAAUUCACACAUUAGUAGGUACGUCUAUGUACGGUGGGUUGGUAUAGCAGAUCCCUGUGGCAUAUUUGACAGAUUCUAAAUGGCUGUAUAAACAAUUUUCUCGACAAUUUCUCUUCGCUGAAUAUUAUCCCAGGGAAGGGAUACUAACUUUUCUGUGAUAUUAAUUACAAAUGUGCACAUUUGUUGAAUGUGUCCUGUCCUGCGCAGUGUAUGAAUCGGCGUGGAUCAUUUAGAUUUAGAUAAACGUAUUCGAUGUGUGCGACCGGUAUGUAAUUCAUGAUGUGCAUUCAAAUACAAAAUGCUACAAAGAGGACGUUAUGGACGCAAAUCAGAAAUAAACUCGAAAAAUUUGUAUGUUAGUUUUAAAACUUCCUGGAGGAAAUGUGUUCUCGAUGACCAACAAUGUUAACUGUUUGGAUCUGGAUGUUCUUUUUGUAUAGUGCAGUGAGGUAUACCAACGUGGGUCCCCCGUAAUUGUAAACUUUCGUUGUACGUUAGUUUUCGUAUUGGGUAUUCUAAUUACAGUUCCACCUAAGCCUUGUAUGUGGUCGAUUUUUAUGUUCCACGAACACGAUUCGUGCUUACGACAAGCACCACUAAUGCCAACUAUAAGAGCAUCCUUUAAAUGUAAAAUAGAUAUGAUGUAACGAGUAACGAUUUGAAUGUGUAAUGUUAUAGUAAAUAUAAACUGUCGAGGGGGCUUUUUGAAUAAACAUUUUUACUUUGCUCGUUGAUAGAAUUUUUGACUUUUUGAGCCGCUGGAAUGCGUUUUUAAGGCCUGCAACUUAGCAUGCAUAGCUGCUUAUAUCUACAUUAAUUGUUCAAAAGUAUCGUAGACCGCACCAUGGAAUACGUUUUCCACAAUGUGAAUGCUUUAACUUCCUGUGAUAGUUCGCUAAAGUAAAUUAGCACUAGGUUCUCUGAAAA